AUGAACGCUGGCGGCGUGCCUAAUACAUGCAAGUCGAACGAGUUCUCGUUGAUGAUCGGUGCUUGCACCGAGAUUCAACAUGGAACGAGUGGCGGACGGGUGAGUAACACGUGGGUAACCUGCCCUUAAGUGGGGGAUAACAUUUGGAAACAGAUGCUAAUACCGCAUAGAUCCAAGAACCGCAUGGUUCUUGGCUGAAAGAUGGCGUAAGCUAUCGCUUUUGGAUGGACCCGCGGCGUAUUAGCUAGUUGGUGAGGUAAUGGCUCACCAAGGCGAUGAUACGUAGCGACCCUGAGAGGGUAAUCGGCCACAUUGGGACUGAGACACGGCCCAGACUCCUACGGGAGCAGCAGUAGGGAA
This 360-nucleotide ribosomal RNA is filed under the name uncultured Lactobacillus sp. RNAcentral describes it as "bacterial SSU rRNA". It matches the Rfam family "Bacterial small subunit ribosomal RNA", at positions 29 to 361 of the family's 1533-position model. Lineage: Bacteria; Bacillati; Bacillota; Bacilli; Lactobacillales; Lactobacillaceae. The record is from RNAcentral.